GACGAACGCUGGCGGCGCGCCUAACACAUGCAAGUCGAACGAGCGAGAGAGAGCUUGCUUUCUCAAGCGAGUGGCGAACGGGUGAGUAACGCGUGAGGAACCUGCCUCAAAGAGGGGGACAACAGUUGGAAACGACUGCUAAUACCGCAUAAGCCCACGGGUCGGCAUCGACCAGAGGGAAAGGAGCAAUCCGCUUUGAGAUGGCCUCGCGUCCGAUUAGCUAGUUGGUGAGGUAAUGGCCCACCAAGGCGACGAUCGGUAGCCGGACUGAGAGGUUGAACGGCCACAUUGGGACUGAGACACGGCCCAGACUCCUACGGGAGGCAGCAGUGGGGAAUAUUGCACAAUGGGGGGAAACCCUGAUGCAGCGACGCCGCGUGGAGGAAGAAGGUCUUCGGAUUGUAAACUCCUGUUGUUGAGGAAGAUAAUGACGGUACUCAACAAGGAAGUGACGGCUAACUACGUG
This 466-nucleotide ribosomal RNA is filed under the name uncultured bacterium. Its description in RNAcentral is "bacterial SSU rRNA". It matches the Rfam family "Bacterial small subunit ribosomal RNA", at positions 28 to 507 of the family's 1533-position model. The record is from RNAcentral.